GAUGAACGCUGGCGGCGUGCCUAAUACAUGCAAGUCGAGCGAACGGACGAGAAGCUUGCUUCUCUGAUGUUAGCGGCGGACGGGUGAGUAACACGUGGAUAACCUACCUAUAAGACUGGGAUAACUUCGGGAAACCGGAGCUAAUACCGGAUAAUAUUUUGAACCGCAUGGUUCAAAAGUUAAAGACGGUCUUUCUGUCACUUAUAGAUGGAUCCGCGCUGCAUUAGCUAGUUGGUAAGGUAACGGCUUACCAAGGCAACGAUGCAUAGCCGACCUGAGAGGGUGAUCGGACACACUGGAACUGAGACACGGUCCAGACACCUACGGGAGGCAGCAGUAGGGAAUCUUCCGCAAUGGGCGAAAGCCUGACGGAGCAAAGCCGCGUGAGUGAUGAAGGUCUUCGGAUCGUAAAACUCUGUUAUUAGGGAAGAACAUAUGUGUAAGUAACUGUGAACAUCUUGACGGUACCUAAUCAGAAAGCCACGGCUAACUACGUG
RNAcentral lists this ribosomal RNA (497 nucleotides) under uncultured bacterium. Its description in RNAcentral is "partial 16S ribosomal RNA". It matches the Rfam family "Bacterial small subunit ribosomal RNA", at positions 28 to 507 of the family's 1533-position model. The record is from RNAcentral.